Molecule: ribosomal RNA, 291 nt
Filed under: uncultured bacterium
Lineage: Bacteria
Description: partial 16S ribosomal RNA
Rfam family: Bacterial small subunit ribosomal RNA
Source: RNAcentral
AAUAAGUCUCGGCUAACUACGUGCCAGCAGCCGCGGUAAAACGUAGGAGACGAGCGUUAUCCGGAUUUACUGGGCGUAAAGCGCGUGCAGGCGGCAUGGCAAGUUGGAUGUGAAAGCUCCCGGCUUAACUGGGAGAGGUCGUUCAAUACUGCCAGGCUUGAGAGUGGUAGAGGGAAGCGGAAUUCCGGGUGUAGUGGUGAAAUGCGUAGAUAUCCGGAGGAACACCAGUGGCGAAAGCGGCUUCCUGGCCCAUUUCUGACGCUCAGACGCGAAAGCUAGGGUAGCAAACGG